UAGUUUGAUCCUGGCUCAGAUUGAACGCUGGCGGCAUGCUUUACACAUGCAAGUCGAGCGGCAGCGCGGGGGCAACCUUGGCGGCGAGCGGCGAACGGGUGAGUAAUGCAUCGGAACGUGCCCCGUAGUGGGGGACAACCCAGCGAAAGCUGGGCUAAUACCGCAUAUGCUCUGCGGAGGAAAGCGGGGGACCUCGCGAGGGGCCUCGUGCUAUGGGAGCGGCCGAUGUCCGAUUAGCUGGUUGGUGGGGUAAUGGCUCACCAAGGCGACGAUCGGUAGCUGGUCUGAGAGGAUGAUCAGCCACACUGGAACUGAGACACGGUCCAGACUCCUACGGGAGGCAGCAGUGGGGAAUCUUGCGCAAUGGGCGAAAGCCUGACGCAGCGACGCCGCGUGAGUGAUGAAGGCCUUCGGGUUGUAAAGCUCUGUGGAGCGGGACGAAUAAGUCGUGGCUAACAUCCACGAUGAUGACGGUACCGCUUUAGCAAGCACCGGCUAACUCUGUGCCAGCAGCCCCGGUCAA
This 523-nucleotide ribosomal RNA is filed under the name uncultured bacterium. RNAcentral describes it as "bacterial SSU rRNA". It matches the Rfam family "Bacterial small subunit ribosomal RNA", at positions 9 to 524 of the family's 1533-position model. The record is from RNAcentral.